This 469-nucleotide ribosomal RNA is filed under the name uncultured bacterium. RNAcentral describes it as "partial 16S ribosomal RNA". It matches the Rfam family "Bacterial small subunit ribosomal RNA", at positions 28 to 507 of the family's 1533-position model. The record is from RNAcentral.
GACGAACGCUGGCGGCGUGCUUAACACAUGCAAGUCGAACGGAAAGGCCCUGCUUGCAGGGUGCUCGAGUGGCGAACGGGUGAGUAACACGUGGGUGAUCUGCCCCUUACUUUGGGAUAAGCCUGGGAAACUGGGUCUAAUACUGGAUAGGACCAUGCUGUAGGUGGUGUGGUGGAAAGAUUAGUUUCGGUAAGGGAUGAGCUCGCGGCCUAUCAGCUUGUUGGUGGGGUAAUGGCCUACCAAGGCGUCGACGGGUAGCCGGCCUGAGAGGGUGGUCGGCCACAUUGGGACUGAGAUACGGCCCAGACUCCUACGGGAGGCAGCAGUGGGGAAUAUUGCACAAUGGGCGCAAGCCUGAUGCAGCGACGCCGCGUGGGGGAUGACGGCCUUCGGGUUGUAAACUCCUUUCAGCCAUGACGAAGCCCUUGUGGUGACGGUAGUGGUAGAAGAAGCACCGGCUAACUACGUG